UACGUAGGGGACGAGCGUUGUCCGGAAUUACUGGGCGUAAAGGGCGCGCAGGCUGUAGAUCAAGUCAGCUGUGAAAUGUCUGGGCUUAACCCGGGCAUGCGGUUGAAACUGAUGUACUGGAGUGCUGUAGAGGCAAGUGGAAUUCCCAGUGUAGCGGUGAAAUGCGUAGAUAUUGGGAAGAACACCGGUGGCGAAGGCGACUUGCUGGACGGCAACUGACGUUGAGGCUCGAAAGCGUGGGGAUCAAACAGGAUUAGAUA
This 260-nucleotide ribosomal RNA is filed under the name uncultured prokaryote. RNAcentral describes it as "partial 16S ribosomal RNA". It matches the Rfam family "Bacterial small subunit ribosomal RNA", at positions 524 to 784 of the family's 1533-position model. The record is from RNAcentral.